ACCACAUCUACCUGCUCAUUCCAUUGUGUUCCCCUGAGAUAUGGAGAAGGUGAGACAGUCUGACGGAACAAUGGUAUUGGACCAGUAUACAGGCCACUAACAGCAGGAGACAAUACCCUUCGCAAAGGAAAAAGGAAACGUGGCAAAGGAAAUACAUUGAAGAAAUGCCCAGGGUGACGCCGGCUCUGUAUGCUUUCAAAAGGACCUGAACGUGAAACAGAUGAUGUUGUGACCUCAUCGGAUAAACAAGGGUUAACACAACCAACAUUGUUGUAAUAGCAACCGGGUGUGUCUGUAAUUCUGGGUGUGAAAGUCACAUCAUCUGCUCUGAAAG
Molecule: long non-coding RNA, 334 nt
Filed under: Salmo salar (Atlantic salmon)
Lineage: Eukaryota; Metazoa; Chordata; Actinopteri; Salmoniformes; Salmonidae
Description: lncRNA (ENSSSAG00000098359.1)
Source: RNAcentral